Molecule: long non-coding RNA, 610 nt
Organism: Fukomys damarensis (Damara mole-rat)
Lineage: Eukaryota; Metazoa; Chordata; Mammalia; Rodentia; Bathyergidae
Exons: 3
Source: RefSeq, a predicted model, not a curated record
UUCAGUGUAAAGAUUUUUUAUUUCCUUCAUAAGUGUCUGAUGGAGAAAGAGUCAUUUAAGCAAAUCCUAGUGGAAAGUGGAGGACUGUCACCAUGGUGCAGCUGGAGUAGGGCCACAGCCCCUGUCCUCACCGGCGAGCAUGUCCAGGCCAGGUGAAUUUAAAUACCUGAAAUGCUUGUGGAAUGCUAUUCGGCCCGGAAGCAGCUUUAGAGGGGAAAUUCAUUUAUGUCUGAUACAAGCUUUUCAAUUUGUGUUUGUAUCCAUUCAAACAAGCAUCUGCACAGGUAGACACCGGCGAGGAAGGAGAGCAGAGAGCAUUUCUCUGCCCACAUCUCUGGGUCAGACACAGCUGGAAUUGCGACUCUAGAUGUUCAGCAUCUAUCAGCACCCCAACACAGCCCUGUCCACACCAUGUUCCAGAAGCCAUCAUGGUGUGGGUUUCUGUUUCAUUCCUGGUUAAUUCUGACUUUCUCAGAAUUCCCAACCCCACGAAGGUGAGGCCUUGACCUUCUCUACGGAGCUCUGUAUCUCCAUAGUCUAAAGCAAUGUAUGCUGGUUAGAAGCUUCCUGCACGUACUGAAUCGAUGAAAGCUAAAAGUAUUGAACACAG